RNAcentral lists this ribosomal RNA (253 nucleotides) under uncultured bacterium. RNAcentral describes it as "partial 16S ribosomal RNA". It matches the Rfam family "Bacterial small subunit ribosomal RNA", at positions 524 to 776 of the family's 1533-position model. The record is from RNAcentral.
UACGGAGGGUGCAAGCGUUAUCCGGAUUUACUGGGUUUAAAGGGUGCGUAGGUGGGUUGGUAAGUCAGUGGUGAAAUACUUUCGCUUAACGAAGGAACUGCCAUUGAUACUAUCAAUCUUGAAUGUAGUGGAGGUAGGCGGAAUGCGUCAUGUAGCGGCGAAAUGCUUAGAUAUGACGCAGAACACCAAUUGCGAAGGCAGCUUGCUACACUACUAUUGACACUGAGGCACGAAAGCGUGGGGAUCAAACAGG